Molecule: ribosomal RNA, 459 nt
Filed under: uncultured bacterium
Lineage: Bacteria
Description: partial 16S ribosomal RNA
Rfam family: Bacterial small subunit ribosomal RNA
Source: RNAcentral
CCUACGGGGGGCAGCAGUGAGGAAUAUUGGUCAAUGGGCGGGAGCCUGAACCAGCCAAGCCGCGUGAGGGAAGAAGGUACAGCGUAUCGUAAACCUCUUUUGUCAGGGAACAAAGGCGGGGACUAGUCCCCGGAUGAGGGUACCUGAAUAAAAAGCAUCGGCUAACUCCGUGCCAGCAGCCGCGGUAAUACGGAGGAUGCGAGCGUUAUCCGGAUUUAUUGGGUUUAAAGGGUGCGCAGGCGGCCUGUUAAGUCAGCGGUAAAAGCCCGGGGCUCAACCCCGGCGAGCCGUUGAAACUGGCGGGAUGGAGGUGGAGAGAAGUAUGCGGAAUGCGCGGUGGAGAGGUGAAAUGCAUAGAUAUCGCGCAGAACCCCGAUUGCGAAGGCAGCGUGCCGGCUCCACACUGACGCUGAGGCACGAAAGCGUGGGUAUCGAACAGGAUUAGAUACCCGAGUAGUC